RNAcentral lists this ribosomal RNA (404 nucleotides) under uncultured bacterium. RNAcentral's name for it is "bacterial SSU rRNA". It matches the Rfam family "Bacterial small subunit ribosomal RNA", at positions 355 to 775 of the family's 1533-position model. The record is from RNAcentral.
UGGGGAAUAUUGCACAAUGGGGGAAACCCUGAUGCAGCGACGCCGCGUGAGCGAUGAAGUAUUUCGGUAUGUAAAGCUCUAUCAGCAGGGAAGAAUUAGGACGGUACCUGACUAAGAAGCACCGGCUAAAUACGUGCCAGCAGCCGCGGUAAUACGUAUGGUGCAAGCGUUAUCCGGAUUUACUGGGUGUAAAGGGAGCGUAGACGGAGAGGCAAGUCUGAUGUGAAAACCCGGGGCUCAACCCCGGGACUGCAUUGGAAACUGUUUUUCUAGAGUGUCGGAGAGGUAAGUGGAAUUCCUAGUGUAGCGGUGAAAUGCGUAGAUAUUAGGAGGAACACCAGUGGCGAAGGCGGCUUACUGGACGAUGACUGACGUUGAGGCUCGAAAGCGUGGGGAGCAAACAG